This 77-nucleotide ribosomal RNA is filed under the name Paramormyrops kingsleyae. The record is from RNAcentral. Lineage: Eukaryota; Metazoa; Chordata; Actinopteri; Osteoglossiformes; Mormyridae.
GUAAUCCACCUGAAGCUAAGCAGGUUUGGCCCUGAUUGGUACUUGCAUGUGAGACCAACUAGGAACGCUGGCUUGCU